Molecule: ribosomal RNA, 695 nt
Filed under: uncultured human fecal bacterium HF117
Lineage: Bacteria; Pseudomonadati; Bacteroidota; Bacteroidia; Bacteroidales; Bacteroidaceae
Description: bacterial SSU rRNA
Rfam family: Bacterial small subunit ribosomal RNA
Source: RNAcentral
AACGCUAGCUACAGGCUUAACACAUGCAAGUCGAGGGGCAGCAUGGUCUUAGCUUGCUAAGGCUGAUGGCGACCGGCGCGCGGGUGAGUAACACGUAUCCAACCUGCCGUCUACUCUUGGCCAGCCUUCUGAAAGGAAGAUUAAUCCAGGAUGGCAUCAUGAGUUCACAUGUCCGCAUGAUUAAAGGUAUUUUCGGUAGACGAUGGGGAUGCGUUCCAUUAGAUAGUAGGCGGAGUAACGGCCCACCUAGUCAACGAUGGAUAGGGGUUCUGAGAGGAAGGUCCCCCACAUUGGAACUGAGACACGGUCCAAACUCCUACGGGAGGCAGCAGUGAGGAAUAUUGGUCAAUGGGCGAUGGCCUGAACCAGCCAAGUAGCGUGAAGGAUGACUGCCCUAUGGGUUGUAAACUUCUUUUAUAAAGGAAUAAAGUCGGGUAUGCAUACCCGUUUGCAUGUACUUUAUGAAUAAGGAUCGGCUAACUCCGUGCCAGCAGCCGCGGUAAUACGGAGGAUCCGAGCGUUAUCCGGAUUUAUUGGGUUUAAAGGGAGCGUAGAUGGAUGUUUAAGUCAGUUGUGAAAGUUUGCGGCUCAACCGUAAAAUUGCAGUUGAUACUGGAUGUCUUGAGUGCAGUUGAGGCAGGCGGAAUUCGUGGUGUAGCGGUGAAAUGCUUAGAUAUCACGAAGAACUCCGAUUG